UACGUAGGGGGCUAGCGUUGUCCGGAAUUAUUGGGCGUAAAGGGAGUGUAGGCGGUUAUCUAAGUCUUCUGUGAAAUCUACGGGCUUAGCCUGUAACGUGCAGAGGAAACUGGGUGACUAGAGUGUCGGAGAGGAUAGGGGAAUACCCAGUGUAGAGGUGAAAUUCGUAGAGAUUGGGUGGAACACCAGUGGCGAAGGCGCCUGUCUGGCUGACAACUGACGCUGAGACUCGAAAGCAUGGGGAGCAAACAGG
This 253-nucleotide ribosomal RNA is filed under the name uncultured bacterium. Its description in RNAcentral is "partial 16S ribosomal RNA". It matches the Rfam family "Bacterial small subunit ribosomal RNA", at positions 524 to 776 of the family's 1533-position model. The record is from RNAcentral.